AGAGAGAGAGAGAUAUAAAGAGAGGGAGAGAGAUAUAAAGAGAGGGAGAGAGAUAUAAAGAGAGGGAGAUAUAAAGAGAGGGAGAGAGAUAUAAAGAGAGGGAGAGAGAUAUAAGGAGAGGGAGAGAGAUAUAAAGAGAGGGAGAGAGAUAUAAAGAGUGGGAGAGAGACAUAAAAAGAGGGAGAGAGAUAUAAGGAGAGGGACAGAGAUAUAAAGAGAGGGAGAGAAAGAUAAAGAGAGGGAGAGAGAUAUAAAGAGAGGGAGAGAGAGAUAAAGAGAUGGAGAUUUAAAGAGAGGGAGAGAGAGAUAAAGAGAGGGAGAUAUAAAGAGAGGGAGAGAGAGAUAAAGAGAGGGAGAUAUAAAGAGAGGGAGAUAAAGAGAAGGAGAGAGAUAUAAAGAGAGGGAGAGAGAUGAAGAGAGGGAGAUAUAAAGAGAGGGAGAGAAAGAUAAAGAGAGGGAGAGAGAUAUAAAGAGAUGGAGAGAGAGAUAAAGAGAGGGAGAUAUAAAGAGAGGGAGAGAGAGAUAAAGAGAGGGAGAUAUAAAGAGAGGGAGAGCGAGAUAAAGAGAGGGAGAUAUAAAGAGAGGGAGAUAUAAAGAGAAGGAGAGAGAGAUAAAGAGAGGGAGCUAUAAAGAGAGGGAGAUAAAGAGAAGGAGAGAGAUAUAAAGAGAGGGAGGGAGAUAUAAAGAGAGGGAGAGAGAUGAAGAGAGGGAGAUAAUAAGAGAGGGAUAGAGAUAUAAAGAGAGGGAGAGAGAUAUGAAGAGAGUGAGAGAGAUAUAAAGAGAGGGGGAGAGAUAUAAAGAGAGGGAGAUGUAAAGAGAGGGAGAGAGAUAUAAGGAGUGGGAGAGAGAGAUAAAGAGAGGGAGAGAGAUAUAAGGAGAGGGACAGAGACAUAAAGAGAGGGAGAGAGAUGAAGAGAGGGAGAUAAUAAGAGCGGGAUAGAGAUAUAAAGAAAGGGAGAGAGAUAUGAAGAGAGUGAGAGAGAUAUAAAGAGAGGGGGAGAGAUAUAAAGAGAGAGAGAGAUAUAAAGAGAGGGGGAUAUAAAGAGAGGGAGAGAGAUAUGUAGAGAGGGAGAGAGCGAUAAAGAGAGAGAGAGAUAUAUAAAGAGAGGGGGAUAUAAAGAGAGGGAGAGAGAUGUGAAGAGAGGGAGAGAGAUAUAAAAGAGGGAGGGAGAUAUAAAGAGAGGGAGAGAGAAAUGAAGAGAGGGAAAGAGAUGAAGAGAGGGAGAAAGAUAUAAAGAGAGGGAGAGAGAUAUAAAGAGUGGGAGAGAGAGAUAAAGAGAGGGAGAGAGAUAUAAGGAGAGGGACAGAGAUAUAAAGAGAGGGAGAUAUAAAGAGAGGGAGAUAUAAAGAGAGGGAGAGAGAUAUAAAGAGAGGGAGACAGAGAUAAAGAUAGGGAGAUAUAAAGAGAGGGAGAGAGAGAUAAAGAGAGGGAGAUAUAAAGAGAGGGAGAGAGAGAUAAAGAGAGGGAGAGAGAGAUAAAGAGAGGGAGAUAUAAAGAGAGGGAGAGAGAGAUAAAGAGAGGGAGCUAUCAAGAGAGGGAGAUAAAGAGAAGGAGAGAGAUAUAAAGAGAGGGAGAGAGAUGAAGAGAGUGAGAGAGAUAUAAAGAGAGGGGGAGAGAUAUAAAGAGAGAGAGAUAUAUAAAGAGAGGGGGAUAUAAAGAGAGGGAGAGAGAUAUGUAGAGAGGGAGAGAGAGAAAGAGAGGGAGAGAGAGAUAAAGAGAGGGAGAUAUAAAGAGAGGGAGAUAUAAAGAGAGGGAGAGAGAUAUAAAGAGAGGGAGAUGUAAAGAGAGGGAGAGAGAUAUAAGGAGAGGGAGAGAGAUAUAAAGAGAGGGAGAGAGAUAUAAAGAGUGGGAGAGAGAGAUAAAGAGAGGGAGAGAGAUAUAAGGAGAGGGACAGAUAUAUAAAGAGAGGGAGAUAUAAAGAGAGGGAGAGAAAGAUAAAGAGAGGGAGAGAGAUAUAAAGAGAGGGAGAGAGAGAUAAAGAGAUAUAAAGAGAGGGAGAGAGAGAUAAAGAGAGGGAGAUAUAAAGAGAGGGAGAGAGAGAUAAAGAGAGGGAGAUAUAAAGAGAGGGAGAGAGAGAUAAAGAGAGGGAGCUAUAAAGAGAGGGAGAUAAAGAGAAGGAGAGAGAUAUAAAGAGAGGGAGAGAGAUGAAGAGAGUGAGAGAGAUAUAAAGAGAGGGGGAGAGAUAUAAAGAGAGAGAGAGAUAUAAAGAGAGGGGGAUAUAAAGAGAGGGAGAGAGAUAUGUAGAGAGGGAGAGAGAGAUAAAGAGAGAGAGAGAGAGAGAUAAAGCGAGGGGGAUAUAAAGAGAGGGAGAGAGAUAUGAAGAGAGGGAGAGAGAUAUAAAAGAGGGAGGGAGAUAUAAAGAGAGGGAGAGAGAUAUGAAGAGAGGGAAAGAGAUGAAGAGAGGGAGAAAGAUAUAAAGAGAGGGAGAGAGAUAUAAAGAGUGGGAGAGAGAGAUAAAGAGAGGGAGAGAGAUAUAAGGAGAGGGACAGAGAUAUAAAGAGAGGGAGAUAUAAAGAGAGGGAGAGAGAUAUAAAGAGAGGGAGACAGAGAUAAAGAGAGGGAGAUAUAAAGAGAGGGAGAGAGAGAUAAAGAGAGGGAGAUAUAAAGAGAGGGCGAGAGAUGUAAAGAGAGGGAGAUGUAAAGAGAGGGAGAGAGAUAUGAAGAGAGGAUGAGAGAUAUAAAGGGAGGGAGAGAGAUACAAAGAGAGGGAGGGAGAUAUAAAGAGAGGGAGAGAGAUAUAAAGAGAGGGAGAUGUAAAGAGAGGGAGAGAGAUAUGAAGAGAGGGAGUGAGAUAUAAAGGGAGGGAGAGAGAUACAAAGAGAGGGAGGGAGAUAUAAAGAGAGGGAGUGAGAUAUAAAGAGAGGGGGAUAUAAAGAGAGAGAGAGAGAUAUAAAGGGAGGGAGAGAGAUACAAAGAGAGGGAGGGAGAUAUAAAGAGAGGGAGAGAGAUAUGAAGAGAGGGAGAGAGAUGAAGAGAGGGAGAGAGAUAAAGAGAAGGAGAGAGAGAUACAGAGAGAGAGAUAAAGACAGUGAGAUAUAAAGAGGGAGAUCUAAAGAGAGGGAGAGAGAUAAAAAGAGGGAGAGAGAUAAAGAGAAGGAGAGAGAGAUACAG
Oncorhynchus tshawytscha (Chinook salmon) is the source of this 3112-nucleotide long non-coding RNA. The record is from Ensembl. Lineage: Eukaryota; Metazoa; Chordata; Actinopteri; Salmoniformes; Salmonidae.